This 497-nucleotide ribosomal RNA is filed under the name uncultured bacterium. Its description in RNAcentral is "partial 16S ribosomal RNA". It matches the Rfam family "Bacterial small subunit ribosomal RNA", at positions 28 to 507 of the family's 1533-position model. The record is from RNAcentral.
GAUGAACGCUGGCGGCGUGCCUAAUACAUGCAAGUCGAGCGAACAGACGAGGAGCUUGCUCCUCUGACGUUAGCGGCGGACGGGUGAGUAACACGUGGAUAACCUACCUAUAAGACUGGGAUAACUGCGGGAAACCGGAGCUAAUACCGGAUAAUAUAUUGAACCGCAUGGUUCAAUAGUGAAAGACGGUUUUGCUGUCACUUAUAGAUGGAUCCGCGCCGCAUUAGCUAGUUGGUAAGGUAACGGCUUACCAAGGCAACGAUGCGUAGCCGACCUGAGAGGGUGAUCGGCCACACUGGAACUGAGACACGGUCCAGACUCCUACGGGAGGCAGCAGUAGGGAAUCUUCCGCAAUGGGCGAAAGCCUGACGGAGCAACGCCGCGUGAGUGAUGAAGGUCUUCGGAUCGUAAAACUCUGUUAUUAGGGAAGAACAAUUGUGUAAGUAACUAUGCACGUCUUGACGGUACCUAAUCAGAAAGCCACGGCUAACUACGUG